This 459-nucleotide ribosomal RNA is filed under the name uncultured bacterium. RNAcentral's name for it is "partial 16S ribosomal RNA". It matches the Rfam family "Bacterial small subunit ribosomal RNA", at positions 338 to 795 of the family's 1533-position model. The record is from RNAcentral.
CCUACGGGGGCAGCAGUGAGGAAUAUUGGUCAAUGGACGAGAGUCUGAACCAGCCAAGUAGCGUGAAGGAUGACUGCCCUAUUGGUUGUAAACUUUCUUUAUUAAGGAAUAAAACCAGGCCCGUUUUCCUUUUUUCCUUUUCCUUUUUAAUUAAGAUCGGCUAACCCCGGUCCAGCAGCCGCGGUAAUACGGAGGAUCCGAGCGUUAUCCGGAUUUUUUGGGUUUAAAGGGAGCGUAGAUGGGUUGUUAAGUCAGUUGUGAAAGUUUGCGGCUCAACCGUGAAAUUGCAAUUGAUACUGGCAGUCUUGAGUACAGUUGAGGUAGGCGGAAUUCGUGGUGUAGCGGUGAAAUGCUUAGAUAUCACGAAGAACCCCGAUUGCGAAGGCAGCUUACUAAACUGUGACUGACAUUGAUGCUCGAAAGUGUGGGUAUCAAACAGGAUUAGAUACCCCUGUAGUC